AUUGAACGCUGGCGGCAGGCCUAACACAUGCAAGUCGAACGGUAGCACAGAGAGCUUGCUCUCGGGUGACGAGUGGCGGACGGGUGAGUAAUGUCUGGGAAACUGCCCGAUGGAGGGGGAUAACUACUGGAAACGGUAGCUAAUACCGCAUAACGUCGCAAGACCAAAGUGGGGGACCUUCGGGCCUCACACCAUCGGAUGUGCCCAGAUGGGAUUAGCUAGUAGGUGGGGUAAUGGCUCACCUAGGCGACGAUCCCUAGCUGGUCUGAGAGGAUGAACAGACACCCGGGAAGUGAGACACGGUCCAGACUCCUACGGGAGGCAGCAGGGGGGAAUAUUGCACAAUGGGCGCAAGCCUGAUGCAGUCAUGCCGCGUGUAUGAAGAAGGCCUUCGGGUUGUAAAGUACUUGCAGCGGGGAGGAAGGCGGUGAGGUUAAUAACCUCACCGAUUGACGUUACCCGCAGAAGGAGCACCGGCUAACUCCGUGCCAGCCGCCGCAGUAA
This 504-nucleotide ribosomal RNA is filed under the name uncultured bacterium. Its description in RNAcentral is "partial 16S ribosomal RNA". It matches the Rfam family "Bacterial small subunit ribosomal RNA", at positions 29 to 523 of the family's 1533-position model. The record is from RNAcentral.